UGAUCGUAAAUUGACAAGUAACUUCCCUGCCGCUCUUGAAGGUCAGCAAGGUUACGUGACAACGCUCCAACAACAGCUCCAACACCCACAUGCUUGAAGACCUGCUGUAGCUGAGAAUAUGGGUGAUUCGAUCUACUUGUCACAUAGUAAUCAGUAAAUCUGUAGCCGAAACGCUUGUCAAACUUCUUCAAAAUUUUCCGAAUGCCAGUCGCAUUGAG
Molecule: unclassified non-coding RNA, 218 nt
Filed under: Hevea brasiliensis (rubber tree)
Lineage: Eukaryota; Viridiplantae; Streptophyta; Magnoliopsida; Malpighiales; Euphorbiaceae
Source: RNAcentral